CGACCAUGCUCCCCUCCAUAUUGAUCAGUACGCGCGGUCUGCAGGCCGCAGCAUCCAACGAUGGGAACGCGCGCUGCUACAUGUUGUCAACAUGCUUAGCAGACCGAAAUCCCACGGUGCGGGAUAGUGACGGGCCCCAGCCACGAAAGCGGCCACAUGCGUCCGCAGUGUCGUCGCCGGGACACGAGAAUCCGAUAUGCAUCAAGACGCACGUCCUGUGUACUCGCAAAGAAAGAUCUAGCCGAUCGUAAAUGGUAUCCGAAUAUCCUGUUCUAGUUUCGGGGACCAGCAUCACCACCUCGUUUGCAAGUAAAAGAGGAUGUCGUGUUCGAUUUUGCCGGCAGUCGUUUGCGCCCUGCACACCGUUACAAGGAUUCUUCGCAUCUCGAUAUAUCGAGUAUACGAGUACAUCUCGGGGAUUCUUCCAUGGGUCGGAUAACCAGCCCGCGUGAAUUCUUCAUCCUGACCAGAAAAGAGAAGCGAGUGUAGAACGCGCGCGAGAAAAGCCGGAAAUGAGAUUUCUUGUCGGCUGCGUUAGAAUCGAAGCGACCUAUUUCGGCGUUCAGAACAUGACAUUCAACGGUGAUCUAAAAGAAGCCAAAAUACAAAAUAAAAAAGCUGAUUGAGACUUUUUUAAAAAUGUAAAAUGUGUAAAUUAAUAUUUAAAAUUAUCUUAUUUAUGUUGGCUACACUGUAAUAGAUAACAAUUAUGUAAUUACGUUACACAGCAAAUAUUGUGCCGCAACGUGUACGCUUAACAUACUUGUUUAAAUCAUCUCUACAAACAAGCUAUUUUUAUCUGAUUCAAAAAAUGAUAACAUCUGCUGUUCUGAGCGUCCUAGAAAGGAUUCUAGUAUGGCGCUAAUGCACCUCUUAAUUCAACAAACCAAUGUAAUUGCAGGAAAACUUCGCACUGACGAGACGCGAGAGAAACGGAAAUGGUGAAUAAUAAACUUCAAAUUGUCACAAAAUAAUUAAGCACAUUUGUUUCCGCCUCAAGACAAAAAGCGAGAUACUUUUUUUUCUCAAAAAUGGCGUUCUUCUAUAGGCGAGCAAGCAAAGAGAUAAAAAACUAUAGAAGAAAACGAAGAUAAAAGAGAAAUCUCAUUUUCGAGUACAUUAUGUUGACUUAAUACACCGCGAAAAAAUAUACAGAGCUUAUAUAAAAAACCGCACGAUAUUAAUAAAGCUUAAAGAAUAUGUUUCACUAUCUGUAUAAAUAAAUUUUAUAAUAAAUGCCAUUUAAUUAUGUGUAA
Long non-coding RNA from Monomorium pharaonis (pharaoh ant), 1256 nucleotides. RefSeq lists it as uncharacterized. NCBI's taxonomy places the organism in Eukaryota, Metazoa, Arthropoda, Insecta, Hymenoptera, Formicidae. The record is from RefSeq and is a predicted model, not a curated record. The transcript has 2 exons.